RNAcentral lists this ribosomal RNA (52 nucleotides) under Phytophthora sp. R2. Its description in RNAcentral is "partial 5.8S ribosomal RNA". Lineage: Eukaryota; Oomycota; Peronosporomycetes; Peronosporales; Peronosporaceae. The record is from RNAcentral.
CACCUUUCAGCAGGGAAGGUCUAGGCUCGCACAUCGAUAAAAAACGCUGCGA